AAUGGGUUGCCUGAUAAAAAGGAUUAUCUUGAUAGGGUAAAUUAUAAAGAACUUCUUUACUCAUUA
RNAcentral lists this transfer RNA (66 nucleotides) under Mansonia uniformis. RNAcentral's name for it is "tRNA-Ile". The record is from RNAcentral. Lineage: Eukaryota; Metazoa; Arthropoda; Insecta; Diptera; Culicidae.